Pocillopora verrucosa is the source of this 513-nucleotide non-coding RNA. Lineage: Eukaryota; Metazoa; Cnidaria; Anthozoa; Scleractinia; Pocilloporidae. The record is from RefSeq and is a predicted model, not a curated record.
CGGUGCCGAAUCUUUGCAAGAGUCAUCACAAUCAUUGCUGGACCCUCUAGAGAAUCAUUUUCUGAGAGGAAACUUAAGCGUGAAAACCUCGAUUUCCCUGAAACCAUUUACAUAAGAGGAGAGAUCCAUACAUACAGAAGGAGACCUUACAAACCCCUGUAAUUGAACACUGGUCUGUUUCAAGGCAAAUGACACCUAGGCAUCUCUGUGUGAACAGUGAAAGAGUAAUUUUCUUGGAUACUACUGGAUCCACAGUGCUACAUUGCCUUGUGAACAGAAGGAAGAGGAGUCAAAAAUCUUCACUCUUGUAUCGUCAUAUUUUUACGUUGUUUACGCUCAUUUAUUGGAUUAUUCAUUGCAAGAAAUGUGGAGAAAAAGCCCUGCAUGCAAUAAUGCACGGUUCUAAUAUUUUUCUUACUUAACCCUUUAACUCCCAUGAGUGACCAAGACAGAAUUUCUCCUUACCAAAUCAAUACAAUAUCAAACAGGCAAGUGAUAAGAAAAAACAAAUAU